Molecule: ribosomal RNA, 253 nt
Filed under: uncultured bacterium
Lineage: Bacteria
Description: partial 16S ribosomal RNA
Rfam family: Bacterial small subunit ribosomal RNA
Source: RNAcentral
UACGAAGGGGGUUAGCGUUGCUCGGAAUCACUGGGCGUAAAGCGCACGUAGGCGGCUUUCUAAGUCAGGGGUGAAAUCCUGGAGCUCAACUCCAGAACUGCCUUUGAUACUGGAGAGCUUGAGUCCGGAAGAGGUGAGUGGAACUCCGAGUGUAGAGGUGAAAUUCGUAGAUAUUCGGAAGAACACCAGUGGCGAAGGCGGCUCACUGGUCCGGUACUGACGCUGAGGUGCGAAAGCGUGGGGAGCAAACAGG